AUUGAACGCUGGCGGCAUGCCUUACACAUGCAAGUCGAACGGCAGCACGGAGCUUGCUCUGGUGGCGAGUGGCGAACGGGUGAGUAAUAUAUCGGAACGUACCCUAGAGUGGGGGAUAACGUAGCGAAAGUUACGCUAAUACCGCAUACGAUCUAAGGAUGAAAGUGGGGGAUCGCAAGACCUCAUGCUCGUGGAGCGGCCGAUAUCUGAUUAGCUAGUUGGUAGGGUAAAAGCCUACCAAGGCAUCGAUCAGUAGCUGGUCUGAGAGGACGACCAGCCACACUGGAACUGAGACACGGUCCAGACUCCUACGGGAGGCAGCAGUGGGGAAUUUUGGACAAUGGGCGAAAGCCUGAUCCAGCAAUGCCGCGUGAGUGAAGAAGGCCUUCGGGUUGUAAAGCUCUUUUGUCAGGGAAGAAACGGUGAAAGCUAAUAUCUUUUGCUAAUGACGGUACCUGAAGAAUAAGCACCGGCUAACUACGUGCCAGCAGCCGCGGUAAUACGUAGGGUGCAAGCGUUAAUCGGAAUUACUGGGCGUAAAGCGUGCGCAGGCGGUUUUGUAAGUCUGAUGUGAAAUCCCCGGGCUCAACCUGGGAAUUGCAUUGGAGACUGCAAGGCUAGAAUCUGGCAGAGGGGGGUAGAAUUCCACGUGUAGCAGUGAAAUGCGUAGAUAUGUGGAGGAACACCGAUGGCGAAGGCAGCCCCUGGGGUCAAGAUUGACGCUCAUGCACGAAAGCGUGGGGAGCAAACAGGAUUAGAUACCCUGGUAGUCCACGCCCUAAACGAUGUCUACUAGUUGUCGGGUCUUAAUUGACUUGGUAACGCAGCUAACGCGUGAAGUAGACCGCCUGGGGGGUACGGUCGCAAGAUUAAAACUCAAAGGAAUUGACGGGGACCCGCACAAGCGGUGGAUGAUGUGGAUUAAUUCGAUGCAACGCGAAAAACCUUACCUACCCUUGACAUGGCUGGAAUCCUUGAGAGAUCAGGGAGUGCUCGAAAGAGAACCAGUACACAGGUGCUGCAUGGCUGUCGUCAGCUCGUGUCGUGAGAUGUUGGGUUAAGUCCCGCAACGAGCGCAACCCUUGUCAUUAGUUGCUACGAAAGGGCACUCUAAUGAGACUGCCGGUGACAAACCGGAGGAAGGUGGGGAUGACGUCAAGUCCUCAUGGCCCUUAUGGGUAGGGCUUCACACGUCAUACAAUGGUACAUACAGAGCGCCGCCAACCCGCGAGGGGGAGCUAAUCGCAGAAAGUGUAUCGUAGUCCGGAUUGUAGUCUGCAACUCGACUGCAUGAAGUUGGAAUCGCUAGUAAUCGCGGAUCAGCAUGUCGCGGUGAAUACGUUCCCGGGUCU
Molecule: ribosomal RNA, 1352 nt
Filed under: uncultured bacterium
Lineage: Bacteria
Description: bacterial SSU rRNA
Rfam family: Bacterial small subunit ribosomal RNA
Source: RNAcentral